Molecule: long non-coding RNA, 1941 nt
Filed under: Coffea arabica (coffee)
Lineage: Eukaryota; Viridiplantae; Streptophyta; Magnoliopsida; Gentianales; Rubiaceae
Description: long non-coding RNA (CARA_LNC003261)
Source: RNAcentral
UAUUUACCCUCCAAAAUAAAUAAAAAGGUCAAGGCAACACUUUAAUUCACAAAAUAAAUACAUGAAAUGAGAAUAAACACGAAAUUGAAUCAAUUAAAGUAUUUAUAUAAAAAUAAACAACCCAUAUUCAAGCAAUUCAAAAUAAGCAAGAUCCCAAUUGAAAGAAUUAAAGAAGUUUUAGGGGAUAAAUCAUAGUAUUACAAAUGUUAGGGGGUCUAAAUUAAAAUAAAAUAAAAUAAAGGGCUUAAAAUGAAGUAUACCAAAACCAAAUGCUAAACUUCACAAAAUGAAUGAAAACCCUUUCAUCAAACCCCAAACAAAAAAUGUUACUCAAAUAUAAACCAUUUGUAUAAAAAUCCAAAUCAAAAACUAUAAAUCUAUCAAAAUAUUAUUAAACCAACAAAUUUCAUCCUAAAAUUCACCAAUAAUCUGUCCAAAAAUCACAUUAAGACAUAUCAAAGAAAAAUAGCAUUUUAAAGGGACAAAAUUGAUUAAAGUUUUCGAUUUUCCAGGCCUUAAUAGCAUAAGGGGAAACUUGAGGGGUAAAAAUGCAAUUUUUCUGAAAUUUUUGCAUUCAAGUGUCGAAGUCAUCUUCUUCUUCUGUAACCGAGAGUUUCUGCAACUUCUCUUAUGCUUUGAAACUUCAGCAAAUUUUAACAACUAUCUCAAACAAGAAUCCAACCUCAAGUUCUUAUUAAGCUCGUCAUCCCAAUACCUUAUUAUACAUACAAGAGAACGGAAAAACUAGCAUGGGGAAAGUUUGCAAAUUCCAAGCUCAUUCAAAAGAUUUCCACCAGUUCUGGGUCUUCCUAUGGAAGUUCACUUAACCAAUUACCAUUCACACAUGUUUUGCAUCAUGAAAAGGAAGGCAACAGUUGAAAUCUUACUUCAUGAAAUAAAUCAAACCAGAAUCUCCAAAAUAAAAAUCUGAGCAACAUCAACAAAGCUCCACAGAGAGAUAAGAAAACAACUUCUUGAGCAAAUGAAAAAACAGGGAGAGAGAAAAAUGAGACAACAAAAGGUAACAAGCAUGCAUAACUACGGGAACCUAAAUAUUAUCAAAUUUCUCAUGCAAGCAUCGCAGACAGCUUUCUUCUUCUUCUUCUGCGAUUCUAGAUUCUUCAUUACCCAAAAAUGCACAAGACAAAAUCCAAAUAAAUGAGAUCUUAUGAAUUUUAUUUCACAACCCCAAAGCUAAACUCAAACAGAAAAAGUGUAAUAAUCAAGAAAAACUAUCUAAACAAAUGGCAAACUCAUCAACCCCAACAGCAAAAAGGUUCCAAAUUCACGUUCAAGAGGUCUUGUUCUUCAUAAAAAUGUGUUAAACCAAACAAGAAAGAGUGCUAUGGUUACCUGAGGAUGCUGUUGAGUUCAAGUAGGAACCCAGAAACUGUAAGGAACGAGUGUAGAUCCUUAGAAACGAAGUCAAGAAACCCCUCUGCAGUAAAGUGCAGCGUUGAUGAACCAGAAAUUUGAAACCUUGAUUCAAUCGACUUGGAGACGCUUUUCCCGAAUAUUUUCUGAACGAAAGCCGUCCGAUUACGACCCAAGAGAGUGCAGAAACCAGUGGUACCAGUUUUUCUAAAAUUUUUCUGCUGUUUUUCUUCGUUUUUUUCUCCUCUUUCCUCUGCUUUUUCUUUUUUCCUCCUGCCACAACUCUCUCCCGUUUCCCCCCUAUUUCUUUCUUGCUCAGCCGCCCUUCCCUCUAUCUCCCAGAUCCUCCCUCUCGGUUCCUCUUUUUUCCUCCAAAAACCUCCGUAGCCCCUCUUUCUUUUUCUUGGUUCUUUUUGUUGUUUUUCCCUCAGUCUUUUUCCUUUUCUCUGCCCAGAAACCCUCCUUAUUUAGCUGUUACUCACUCAAUCUCUCGCUCUCCUUUUUCUCAGCUUUUUGCAGUUUCUCUCAGCCCCCUACCAGAAUCUUCUCCCCUUGCCCCUAGUUUCC